GAUGAAGAACGCAGCGAAAUGCGAUACGUAGUGUGAAUUGCAGAAUCCAGUGAAUCAUCGAAUCUUUGAACGCACAUUGCGCCCGCCAGUAUUCUGGCGGGCAUGCCUGUUCGAGCGUCAUUUCAACCCUCAGGCCCCCAGUGCCUGGUGUUGGGGAUCGGCCCAGCCUUCCUGUAAGGCCGCCGGCCCCGAAAUCUAGUGGCGGUCUCGCUGUAGUCCUCCUCUGCGUAGUAGCACAACCUCGCAGUUGGAACGCGGCGGUGGCCAUGCCGUUAAACACCCCACUUCUGAAAGUUGACCUCGGAUCAGGUAGGAAUACCCGCUGAACUUAAGCAUAUCAAUAAGCGGAGGA
This 352-nucleotide unclassified non-coding RNA is filed under the name soil metagenome. RNAcentral's name for it is "partial contains 5.8S ribosomal RNA, internal transcribed spacer 2, and large subunit ribosomal RNA". The stretch from base 1 to 120 matches the Rfam family "5.8S ribosomal RNA", at positions 35 to 154 of the family's 154-position model. The record is from RNAcentral.